Molecule: non-coding RNA, 84 nt
Organism: Arthromyces matolae
Lineage: Eukaryota; Fungi; Basidiomycota; Agaricomycetes; Agaricales; Lyophyllaceae
Source: the annotation of a GenBank genome assembly
CCGACUUUAGCUCAGUUGGAAGAGCAUCAGACUGUAAUGGCAAAAAUCAUCUGGGUGUCGCCUGUUCGAACCAGGCAAGUCGGA